This 403-nucleotide ribosomal RNA is filed under the name uncultured bacterium. RNAcentral's name for it is "bacterial SSU rRNA". It matches the Rfam family "Bacterial small subunit ribosomal RNA", at positions 29 to 418 of the family's 1533-position model. The record is from RNAcentral.
AAUCAACGCUGGCGGCGUGCCUAACACAUGCAAGUCGAACGCGAGAGGGGCUUCGGCCCCGAUUGAGUGGCGAACGGGUGAGUAACGCGUGGGUGACCUACCUUCGAGUGGGGGAUAACGUCCCGAAAGGGACGCUAAUACCGCAUAACAUCCUGCUUUUGAAUGGGUGGAGAUCAAAGCCGGGGGAUCGCAAGACCUGGCGCUUGAUGAGGGGCCCGCGUCUGAUUAGCUAGNGGUGAGGUAACGGCCCACCAAGGCAACGAUCAGUAUCCGGCCUGAGAGGGCGGACGGACACACUGGGACUGAGACACGGCCCAGACUCCUACGGGAGGCAGCGAGUGGGGAAUUGUUCGCAAUGGGCGCAAGCCUGACGACGCAACGCCGCGUGGAGGAUGAAGGUCUU